Molecule: microRNA precursor, 80 nt
Filed under: Tupaia belangeri (northern tree shrew)
Lineage: Eukaryota; Metazoa; Chordata; Mammalia; Scandentia; Tupaiidae
Description: miRNA (ENSTBEG00000020131.1)
Source: RNAcentral
CGGCUCGGCUCGGCUCGGCACGGCUCGGCUCGGCUGCUCGGCUCGGCUCGACUCGGCUCGGCUCGGCUGCGCGGUCGCGG